GCAGCCGCGGUAAUACGUAGGUGACAAGCGUUAUCCGGAUUUACUGGGCGUAAAGGGCGUGUAGGCGGUCUUGCAAGUCAGAAGUGAAAUUCCUGAGCUCAACUCGGGCGCUGCUUCUGAAACUGCAGGACUUGAGUGCUGGAGGGGAUAGCGGAAUUCCUAGUGGAGCGGUAAAAUGCGCAGAUAUUAGGAAGAACACCGGUGGCGAAGGCGGCUAUCUGGACAGUAACUGACGCUGAGGCGCGAAAGCGUGGGGAGCAAACAGGAUUAGAUACCCC
This 278-nucleotide ribosomal RNA is filed under the name uncultured Saccharofermentans sp. Its description in RNAcentral is "partial 16S ribosomal RNA". It matches the Rfam family "Bacterial small subunit ribosomal RNA", at positions 511 to 788 of the family's 1533-position model. The record is from RNAcentral. Lineage: Bacteria; Bacillati; Bacillota; Clostridia; Eubacteriales; Oscillospiraceae.